RNAcentral lists this long non-coding RNA (256 nucleotides) under Phoenix dactylifera (date palm). RNAcentral's name for it is "long non-coding RNA (PDAC_LNC006543)". The record is from RNAcentral. Lineage: Eukaryota; Viridiplantae; Streptophyta; Magnoliopsida; Arecales; Arecaceae.
UUUAUGAAGUAUAUUAUGUGAAAGUCGAAUGCCAUGCACUAUAAGCGCCAAUAGCAUCUCUAAUAUCUGUAUAUCAUCUAUCAAGCCUUACCAGAGGCUCAAUAUCCACCUUUGUUAUCUCAAUAAACAUCUCCUAAAGUUGAGACCUAAGUGCAUUUUUUUUUCCCUCCAAUUUCUAAUUGGAUCUUUGCUUGCAUGAGUUCCUAGUGCCACGUCAAGAUGAGGCAUUCUGGAACUCUUUAACAUAACUUUAUUU